GACGAACGCUGGCGGCGUGCCUAAUACAUGCAAGUCGAACGAGAGCGACCGGUGCUUGCACUGGUCAAUCUAGUGGCGAACGGGUGAGUAACACGUGGGUAACCUGCCCAUCAGAGGGGGAUAACAUCCGGAAACGGAUGCUAAAACCGCAUAGGUCUUCGAGCCGCAUGGCUUGAAGAGGAAAAGAGGCGCAAGCUUCUGCUGAUGGAUGGACCCGCGGUGCAUUAGCUAGUUGGUGAGGGAACGGCUCACCAAGGCCGUGAUGCAUAGCCGACCUGAGAGGGUGAUCGGCCACAUUGGGACUGAGACACGGCCCAAACUCCUACGGGAGGCAGCAGUAGGGAAUCUUCCGCAAUGGACGCAAGUCUGACGGAGCAACGCCGCGUGAGUGAAGAAGGUUUUCGGAUCGUAAAACUCUGUUGUUAGAGAAGAACAAGUGCUAGAGUAACUGUUAGCGCCUUGACGGUAUCUAACCAGAAAGCCACGGCUAACUACGUG
This 498-nucleotide ribosomal RNA is filed under the name uncultured bacterium. Its description in RNAcentral is "partial 16S ribosomal RNA". It matches the Rfam family "Bacterial small subunit ribosomal RNA", at positions 28 to 507 of the family's 1533-position model. The record is from RNAcentral.